UAUCAAUAGACCAUAGUUAAAUUUUGAUUACAUUUACUAUUUUGUAAGAAGACAAUGAAAACCCUUAUCCCAAUGACCCAAACUGAGACAGCAGCAUGGGGCCAUGACUCACCUUGGGAUCUCUCCUGCCACCACCGCCAGAGGAGGGGUCUCGGCCCCACGCAGCCUGGCCUGGCCUUCGGCUUCCACCCUAUAAGGGAGACCCAAGAGACAAGGUGACACCCACAGUGAGACGCCAUCGACUGGGCUCCUCGGGCGGUCGGCGCUGCCCCGUUGGGCUCGAGGAUGGAAAGGCAGGAAGAGAAAGGCCCGUGGAGUCAGGCAUUCCUCCCCGCACGGCCACUGGGCAACCCAAGGGGCCCGCCCCACCCAACGAGGCCUCGCCAUCCCUCGGGGGGCCUCUAGGACCCGUCCCCUGGCUUUCGGUCUCUCUGGGCCGCGGAGGACCAGCUGGGCCCCUGUGCAGGACGUCCAAGAGACCUUCCUAGCCAGAGCUGUCCCAUCCCUGGGACGCCAGAGCCCUUCUGGACUGCUGGCCUCGCCCGCAUCUGCCGCCCACCCUCCACCAGCCCCUCGCACUGCCCUGCCCAGCCCAGCCCCGACAAGCCCUGGGAUGCUGCUCACACUGGUCCCCUGGCUCCAAAGACAACGCUGCCAUCCUCGCCUGCUCAUCCAGGAAGGAGCCGGCCUUCGGGUCCGGCGGCUGCACACUGAGGAGUACAAAGCCAAGAGGAGGAGACCCAAUGGCACAGCCAUUCUCCAGGCUCGCGGCUUCCACACACACACCUGGCCAUAGCCUGGCAUGCGGCAUACCAUGAGGGUCACCAAGGACCUGGCAAAUGCCUUCACUCCCUUUCUCUCUAGAUUCAGUUCUCUGAUACUGCCGGACGGGUGCUCACAUUUUCCCAUUGGGCUAACACCAGGAAAACGCUGGAAUGCCCGUGCUCUGUCAGUCACCCUCGUCGUUUCCUGACCUCGGCCUAUUGGGUCACUGCUUUGUGGACAUUGAACCAGAUUCUUUCUUCAGUGGACCUCGGAGUUUCAGACAGGUUUUCAUCGUACAGGACGCAUAUGCCACCAGGAGUCAUCUUCAAUCCAAUACUGUCCCUCCUGUGUUCCCUUAGCUUGACCUUCUUUGUUGAUCAAUUUAUUAAAGGGCUGGGUAAGAUAUCAAUACCCUACCUGAACUUCCAGGGGUCCGUGGGAUGGGAAGCGUCUCAUGAUACCUGUCACCAUGGACUGUGCAAUUUGGUCUUGCCUUUACUCCCUCUCCCUUUCGUUUCCUUUUCU
Molecule: long non-coding RNA, 1290 nt
Filed under: Sus scrofa (pig)
Lineage: Eukaryota; Metazoa; Chordata; Mammalia; Artiodactyla; Suidae
Description: lncRNA (ENSSSCG00030003719.1)
Source: RNAcentral